This 403-nucleotide ribosomal RNA is filed under the name uncultured bacterium. RNAcentral describes it as "partial 16S ribosomal RNA". It matches the Rfam family "Bacterial small subunit ribosomal RNA", at positions 30 to 526 of the family's 1533-position model. The record is from RNAcentral.
AUUGAACGCUGGCGGCAGGCCUAACACAUGCAAGUCGAGCGAGAGGCGGACGGGUGAGUAAUGUAUGGGGACUGCCCGAUAGAGGGGGAUAACUACUGGAAACGGUGGCUAAUCCCGCAUACGAUCGGAUAACCCAUAUGGGAUUAGCGAGUAGGGGGGGUAAAGGCUCACCUCGGCGCCGAUCUCUAGCUGGUCUGAGAGGAGGAUCAGCCACACUGGGACUGUGACAAGGCCCAGCCUCCUACGGAGGCAGCAGGGGGGAAUAUUGCACAAUGGGCGCAAGCCUGAUGCAGCCAUGCCGCUUGUAUGAAGAAGGCCUUAGGGUUGUAAAGUACUUUCAGCGGGGAGGCGUUACCCGCAGAAGAAGCACCGGCUAACUCCGUGCCAGCAGCCGCGGUAAUUC